AAAAGUUGUUACGGUACGGACAAUGAUCCAUUCACAUUCCCAAUUCUGGAUCUCCAAUUCCCCCAUCUUCUUUUUAUUUAUUUAUAUUAGUUUCCGUUUCUCACUUCCCGGCGCCGCCUAUCAAUGGGUGAACUCCAAAUCCAACACCCCUUCUCUCUUCCACCUCCGCCGCUCCCUCCUCUUCCGCCCCCCUCCUCAACGCGCGACGACCCUGCCCCUCCGCGGCCCCCAUCCCCUCCUUUCGAUCCUAGCCGAAUGAUUGGUAUCAUUAGAAGGAAGGCCUUGAUUAAAGACUUGGCAGCCGUAUACCAUGCAGAAUGCCUCACAUACUGCCAAGAACUAUUGGAACUCCAGAAGAAAUUAGAUGAGGCCUGCUGCCAAAGCCAGUUGUUUGACCAUUCAUGUAGGUAAAGGUGCCUAGACUGUGGAUCAAGCCGUUUAUAGACAUAAAGGUCCCAGAGGAGCCGCGGAAAGAAACACCAAGACCCCCUAAACGCCUGAAAAAAUCCCGCUAGGUAGCAGUACCAAGGUGCAUAUGUUGAUUCCUUGUGGGAGUUUGUUAUGCCAAUAGGUAGAAGGAUUGGUCUUUCUUACCACUACACCCAUUUAGCUUAUGUUCAAUGAUUAUUUGGAUUUGUCAGAGGAAGCUAUAGAGAGCUGCAGUUUAUAUGAUGCCUAGUCAGUCGAGCUGUGAUGCUGGAGCAUAAUAUAUCUGGUCUUGUGUCUUGCUGCAGCCUUGUGAUGAUGCUGGACUCUGAGAUCUACUUAAUUGAGAACAAAUAGAACACUAACAGGCAAAGCCCAAUUGUUUGAAGUACUAAUUGUUUGAUUUGUACCAUAAUUAAACGAACUUUUAGGUUAUUGUUGUAUUGAAUACUGUUACUAUGACACCAUGAUAUUUGCAGCAUAAUGGGACCUACCAAGAGUGAUGGGUUGUUAGCAUCCUCGACCUUUUAUAGGGGUUCAAUUCAUUAGGGAACAAUUUGAAGACUGCUGUUUGGUUUUAAAUGGAUGGUUUCAUUGUGAGUA
Sesamum indicum (sesame) is the source of this 1029-nucleotide RNA transcript. RefSeq lists it as uncharacterized. Lineage: Eukaryota; Viridiplantae; Streptophyta; Magnoliopsida; Lamiales; Pedaliaceae. The record is from RefSeq and is a predicted model, not a curated record.